GAUGAAGAACGUAGCGAAAUGCGAUACUUGGUGUGAAUUGCAGAAUCCCGUGAACCAUCGAGUCUUUGAACGCAAGUUGCGCCCGAAGCCACUAGGCCGAGGGCACGCCUGCCUGGGCGUCACACGCCGUUGCCCCCCCAUCUACUCCUUCGGGAUUGCGGGGGGGCGGAUGAUGGCCUCCCGUGCGCCUAGCCGCCCGGUUGGCAUAAAUACCAAGUCCUCGGCGACGCACGCCACGACAAUCGGUGGUUGCGAAACCUCGGUUGCCCGUCGUGUGCGUUCGUCGCGCAUCGAGGGCUCGAAAAAAUGCUCGGCUCCGGCUGGGCUUUCAACGCGACCCCAGGUCAGGCGGGGUUACCCGCUGAAUUUAAGCAUAUCAAUAAGCGGAGGA
This 391-nucleotide unclassified non-coding RNA is filed under the name soil metagenome. RNAcentral's name for it is "partial contains 5.8S ribosomal RNA, internal transcribed spacer 2, and large subunit ribosomal RNA". The stretch from base 1 to 122 matches the Rfam family "5.8S ribosomal RNA", at positions 35 to 154 of the family's 154-position model. The record is from RNAcentral.